GGCGCGUGACUUGCUAGGAACACCUCAACCCUGCAGUCAACGCUGAUUGCAUGCAUACGACAAAGGCGCCGU
Molecule: non-coding RNA, 72 nt
Organism: Pseudomonas sp. G5(2012)
Lineage: Bacteria; Pseudomonadati; Pseudomonadota; Gammaproteobacteria; Pseudomonadales; Pseudomonadaceae
Source: Rfam